UACGGAGGGCGCAAGCGUAGAUCGGAAUCAUUGGGCGUAAGGCGCGUGUCGACGGUCUGGUCAGUCGGGUGUGAAAUACCGGAGCUCAACUCCGGAACUGCAUUCGAUACUGACAGGCUAGAGUCCCGGAGAGGGUGGUGGAAUUCCCGGUGUAGAGGUGAAAUUCGUAGAUAUCGGGAGGAACUCUAGCGGCGAAGGCGGCCGCCUGGACGGUGACUGACGCUGAGACGGGAAAGCGUGGGGAGCAAACAGU
RNAcentral lists this ribosomal RNA (253 nucleotides) under uncultured bacterium. Its description in RNAcentral is "partial 16S ribosomal RNA". It matches the Rfam family "Bacterial small subunit ribosomal RNA", at positions 524 to 776 of the family's 1533-position model. The record is from RNAcentral.